This 253-nucleotide ribosomal RNA is filed under the name uncultured bacterium. RNAcentral's name for it is "partial 16S ribosomal RNA". It matches the Rfam family "Bacterial small subunit ribosomal RNA", at positions 524 to 776 of the family's 1533-position model. The record is from RNAcentral.
UACGUAUGGUGCAAGCGUUAUCCGGAUUUACUGGGUGUAAAGGGAGCGUAGACGGCUGUGCAAGUCUGAAGUGAAAGGCCGGGGCCCAACCCCGGGAGUGCUUUGGAAACUGUGCGGCUAGGGUGUCGGAGAGGCAAGUGGAAUUCCCAGUGUAGCGGUGAAAUGCGUAGAUAUUGGGAGGAACACCAGUGGCGAAGGCGUCUUGCUGGACGAUGACUGACGUUGAGGCUCGAAAGCGUGGGGAGCAAACAGG